CUGGCGGCGUGCCCAACACAUGCAAGUCGAACGGGGUUAUGUUGAUUAAUCUUCGGAAGCGUUGAUAUAACUUAGUGGCGGACGGGUGAGUAACACGUGAGCAACCUGUCUUUCAGAGGGGAUACCGUUUGGAAACGAACGUUAAUACCGCAUAACGUAUUGGGACCGCAUGAUCCUGAUACCAAAGGAGCGAUCCGCUGAAAAGAUGGGCUCGCGGCUGAUUAGAUAGUUGGUGGGGUAACGGCCUACCAAGUCAACGAUCAGUAGCCGGACUGAGAGGUUGAACGGCCACAUUGGGACUGAGACACGGCCCAGACUCCUACGGGAGGCAGCAGUGGGGAGUAUUGCGCAAUGGGGGCAACCCUGAACCGCAGCAACGCCGCGUGUGGGAAGAAGGUCUUCGGAUUGUAAACCAUUGUCUUCGGUGACGAUAAUGACGGUAGCCGAGGAGGAAGCUCCGGCUAACUACGUGCCAGCCGCCGC
RNAcentral lists this ribosomal RNA (483 nucleotides) under uncultured bacterium. Its description in RNAcentral is "bacterial SSU rRNA". It matches the Rfam family "Bacterial small subunit ribosomal RNA", at positions 36 to 518 of the family's 1533-position model. The record is from RNAcentral.